RNAcentral lists this ribosomal RNA (257 nucleotides) under uncultured bacterium. RNAcentral's name for it is "partial 16S ribosomal RNA". It matches the Rfam family "Bacterial small subunit ribosomal RNA", at positions 524 to 776 of the family's 1533-position model. The record is from RNAcentral.
UACGUAGGGUGCAAGCGUUAUCCGGAAUUAUUGGGCGUAAAGAGCCUCGUAGGCGGUUUGUCGCGUCUGCUGUGAAAACUGGAGGCUCAACCUCCAGCCUGCAGUGGGUACGGGCAGACUAGAGUGCGGUAGGGGAGACUGGAAUUCCUGGUGUAGCGGUGAAAUGCGCAGAUAUCAGGAGGAACACCGGUGGCGAAGGCGGGUCUCUGGGCCGAUACUGACGCUGGAGGAGCGGAAAGCCGUGGGGAGCAAACGGG